This 441-nucleotide ribosomal RNA is filed under the name Oenococcus oeni. RNAcentral's name for it is "bacterial SSU rRNA". It matches the Rfam family "Bacterial small subunit ribosomal RNA", at positions 1 to 415 of the family's 1533-position model. Lineage: Bacteria; Bacillati; Bacillota; Bacilli; Lactobacillales; Lactobacillaceae. The record is from RNAcentral.
UUUAAAUUGAGAGUUUGAUCCUGGCUCAGGAUGAACGCUGGUGGCGUGCCUAAUACAUGCAAGUCGUACGCUAGCCGCUGAAUUGAUCCUUCGGGUGAAGUGAGGCAAUGACUAGAGUGGCGAACUGGUGAGUAACACGUAAGAAACCUGCCCUUUAGUGGGGGAUAACAUUUGGAAACAGAUGCUAAUACCGCGUAACAACAAAUCACACAUGUGAUCUGUUUGAAAGGUCCUUUUGGAUCGCUAGAGGAUGGUCUUGCGGCGUAUUAGCUUGUUGGUAGGGUAGAAGCCUACCAAGGCAAUGAUGCGUAGCCGAGUUGAGAGACUGGCCGGCCACAUUGGGACUGAGACACUGCCCAAACUCCUACGGGAGGCUGCAGUAGGGAAUUUUCCGCAAUGCACGAAAGUGUGACGGAGCGACGCCGCGUGUGUGAUGAAGGC